CGCGGCCUAUCAGCUUGUUGGUGAGGUAAUGGCUCACCAAGGCUUCGACGGGUAGCCGGCCUGAGAGGGCGACCGGCCACACUGGGACUGAGAUACGGCCCAGACUCCUACGGGAGGCAGCAGUGGGGAAUAUUGCACAAUGGGCGCAAGCCUGAUGCAGCAACGCCGCGUGCGGGAUGACGGCCUUCGGGUUGUAAACCGCUCUCAGUAGGGACGAAGCUAACGUGACGGUACCUACAGAAGAAGGACCGGCUAACUACGUGCCAGCAGCCGCGGUGAUACGUAGGGUCCGAGCGUUGUCCGGAAUUAUUGGGCGUAAAGGGCUUGUAGGCGGUCCGUCGCGUCAGGAGUGAAAACUCGGGGCUUAACCCCGAGCCUGCUUUUGAUACGGGCGGACUGGAGGGAUGCAGGGGAGAACGGAAUUCCUGGUGGAGCGGUGGAAUGCGCAGAUAUCAGGAGGAACACCGGUGGCGAAGGCGGUUCUCUGGGCAUCACCUGACGCUGAGAAGCGAAAGCGUGGGGAGCAAACAGGCUUAGAUACCCUGGUAGUCCGCGCCGUAAACGGUGGGCACUGGGUGUGGGGGACAUUCCACGUUCUCCGUGCCGAAGCUAACGCAUUAAGUGCCCCGCCUGGGGAGUACGG
This 643-nucleotide ribosomal RNA is filed under the name uncultured bacterium. RNAcentral's name for it is "bacterial SSU rRNA". It matches the Rfam family "Bacterial small subunit ribosomal RNA", at positions 232 to 885 of the family's 1533-position model. The record is from RNAcentral.